Molecule: ribosomal RNA, 1451 nt
Filed under: metagenome
Description: bacterial LSU rRNA
Rfam family: Bacterial large subunit ribosomal RNA
Source: RNAcentral
UAUGGUAGUCCUGGGCUAAGCAUGUAGGGAGGACCGUAGGCAAAUCCGCGGUCCGUUAAUCCUGAGAUGUGAUGCCGAGCCGAUUGUGGCGAAGUGGGUGAUCCUAUGCUGCCGAGAAAAGCCUCUAGUGAGUGUCGUGGCGGCCCGUACCCCAAACCGACUCAGGUGGUCAGGUAGAGAAUACCAAGACGAUCGGGUGAACUGUGGUUAAGGAACUCGGCAAAUUGCCCCCGUAACUUCGGGAGAAGGGGGGCCUCCGCUGGUGAUCAGACUUGCUUUGUGAGCUGGUGGGGGUCGCAGAGGCCAGGGGAAGCGACUGUUUACUAAAAACACAGGUCCGUGCGAAGUCGUAAGACGAUGUAUACGGACUGACGCCUGCCCGGUGCUGGAACGUUAAGGGGACCGGUUAGCGCGCCUUCGGGUGUGCGAGGCUGAGAACUUAAGCGCCAGUAAACGGCGGUGGUAACUAUAACCAUCCUAAGGUAGCGAAAUUCCUUGUCGGGUAAGUUCCGACCUGCACGAAUGGCGUAACGACUUCCCCGCUGUCUCAACCGCAGACCCGGCGAAAUUGCACUACGAGUAAAGAUGCUCGUUACGCGCAGCAGGACGGAAAGACCCCGGGACCUUCACUACAGCUUGACAUUGGCGUUUGGAACGUCUUGUGUAGGAUAGGUGGGAGACUUUGAAGCUGUCACGCUAGUGGCGGUGGAGUCAUUGGUGAAAUACCGCUCUGGUCGUUUUGAACGUCUAACUUCGGUCCGUGAUCCGGAUCAGGGACAGUGUCUGGUGGGCAGUUUAACUGGGGCGGUUGCCUCCUAAAGAGUAACGGAGGCGCCCAAAGGUUCCCUCAGCCUGGUUGGUAAUCAGGUGUCGAGUGUAAGUGCACAAGGGAGCUUGACUGUGAGACCGACGGGUCGAGCAGGAGCGAAAGCUGGGACUAGUGAUCCGGCGGUGGCAUGUGGAAGCGCCGUCGCUCAACGGCUAAAAGGUACCCCGGGGAUAACAGGCUGAUCUUCCCCAAGAGUCCAUAUCGACGGGAUGGUUUGGCACCUCGAUGUCGGCUCGUCGCAUCCUGGGGCUGGAGUAGGUCCCAAGGGUUGGGCUGUUCGCCCAUUAAAGCGGUACGCGAGCUGGGUUUAGAACGUCGCGAGACAGUUCGGUCCCUAUCCGCUGCGCGCGCAGGAGACUUGAAAGGAGCUGUCCCUAGUACGAGAGGACCGGGACGGACGAACCUCUGGUGUGCCAGUUGUUCCGCCAGGAGCAUGGCUGGUUGGCUACGUUCGGAAGGGAUAACCGCUGAAAGCAUCUAAGCGGGAAGCUCGCCUUGAGAUGAGGUCUCCCACCACGAGAGUGGGUAAGGCCCCCGGGAGACGACCGGGUUGAUAGGCCGGAGGUGGAAGCAUGGUAACGUGUGGAGCUGACCGGUACUAAUAGGCCGAGGACUUGACCAA